GACGAACGCUGGCGGCAUGCCUAACACAUGCAAGUCGAACGAGACCUUCGGGUCUAGUGGCGCACGGGUGCGUAACGCGUGGGAACCUGCCCUUAGGUUCGGAAUAACUCCCCGAAAGGGGUGCUAAUACCGGAUAAUGUCUUCGGACCAAAGAUUUAUCGCCUUUGGAUGGGCCCGCGUUGGAUUAGCUAGUUGGUAGGGUAAAAGCCUACCAAGGCGACGAUCCAUAGCUGGUCUGAGAGGAUGAUCAGCCACACUGGGACUGAGACACGGCCCAGACUCCUACGGGAGGCAGCAGUGGGGGAUAUUGGACAAUGGGCGAAAGCCUGAUCCAGCAAUGCCGCGUGAGUGAUGAAGGCCUUAGGGUUGUAAAGCUCUUUUACCCGGGAUGAUAAUGACAGUACCGGGAGAAUAAGCUCCGGCUAACUCCGUG
This 433-nucleotide ribosomal RNA is filed under the name uncultured bacterium. RNAcentral describes it as "partial 16S ribosomal RNA". It matches the Rfam family "Bacterial small subunit ribosomal RNA", at positions 28 to 507 of the family's 1533-position model. The record is from RNAcentral.